This 2687-nucleotide long non-coding RNA is filed under the name Equus caballus (horse). Its description in RNAcentral is "lncRNA (ENSECAG00000048132.1)". The record is from RNAcentral. Lineage: Eukaryota; Metazoa; Chordata; Mammalia; Perissodactyla; Equidae.
CCCCGUCCUUUGCAAAGAGAGAGAGAGAGAGGAAGAGAUAGACAGAGAGAGGAGGCAAAGUACUUCUAUCGGUAGUAGCGAUGGUUUCCCUUCCUUCUAAUUUCUAGAUAAGAUUGGCUCUAACUUCCACUGCAUGUCCUCUAGAAGUCAAAAGCCCUUCCCAACCUUCCUCCACAUUCACUUGAUUUUCAUGAGCAUCCUCCCCAAGCUCCCAGCUCCUAUUUAAUUAGUUUGAUUUAUGAGUAGUCACCCUGCCGCCCCUCAUAUGUGGUUCCUGUUCUAGACAACAUUGACACAGAUGUCGAAUUUAGACCCUUUCUGUGGUUUCCUCAUCCACUCUACCCUCCUUCAAAAGCAAAGUCCAGCAAAACAAAAUUCUGCGCACAAGGCUUGCUUUCUUUUGGCAGCCGACUUUAAUAAAAGGAGAUUGCAGGGGAAGGAGAAGUAAUCAUUACAGCAAUAUAAACAACUUGAAUAGAACACUCAACAUGUCUAUUUUCAAAAGUCCUUCCACCGUCCAUCCCUAGGGAGUUUUCUUUGGCCACCUUGUUCCAUGCCACACUGCUCAGCUUAUGCCAUCACAUCAAGUCCCUGCUCGCUAUUUCGAGGUAGUGCUCCCUAGAACUCCGAAUUCUUUAUUAAGUAGAGCCAAUUAGCCCUUUUCUGUCUCUAAUCAUAAACUUCGCCCCUUAGCCAACUGAGUGAGGUCCUCAGUAGAAAAUGUGGGGAGCUCAUCCAAUAAGAUCUGCCUUCCUUAGAGGCUAUAAAUUGCAUUUUCCCAUCCAUUACAUAAUGAUUUGCAUUCUUAACGAAAGUGUGGCUAUGGUUUCACAGUUUAUUUUUUUAAAUGCCAUUUACCUAGAGUUAAUAGACCUAAGAAGAGAGAACCACCUCCGCACAAACAUCAGAAGUGGAACACACAAGGGGAUCAAGGUUACGUGCAAGUGCCCUUUGGUUUCAAUGUUUCCAAAUAGCUGUGGUGCUUUUUUAAAAGAAGACCUUGACAAAUACUGAUCAAGGUCUACUCUUAUCAGUAAAUGGCCUUGAUCUUGGCUAUUGGGUCCAGAGCUGAACAUGCUCUGUAUGUAACCUACUGGCUUAUGUUGACUUUGGAAGAUUUACAGCUCUCGAGUGACAAAAUGCUUGCCGUUUCUAAGCUUUCUAAUGUACACGCCAUUACACUCUUCACUUCUACUGAUAUUUCUUUGCCCUAAUAGAUGUUAUUAUGAGUUUAACUACAUUUUUGUGUAAACCUAAUAUUUAUAAGCUUUGAAAAGUGUGCCGUUUCAAGGUGAAAAGAACAAGGAGGGGAAAAUAACAUCAAUUCAGUUAACCCAUCUCUAUAGAACCAUUAAGCCAUCUCUAUGGAACCAACUUUGGAUCAACUGCUUUAAUUGAGAUAUAUUCUUUAAACACCUAUAGAACCUAACGUGUGGCCACUAUAAGAUGAACCCAAGGUGAACUGGAGGCUGGAGUGUGAAGAAAGUUCUUGCUAUCUUUCUCUGGACUUCAGUUAAGCAACCAAGAAAAGCAGCAUGUCCCAUGACUUCAGAUGUUUGGAUCAAUUUUCCAAUUACGUUUUAGUAGAUUAACAUCAUGGCCAUGAGCUCCUCCGAUUACAGUCUUUCUCGAGUAACAUCUGAGGACCAGCUAAUAGCAGCUACUCAGCUACUAAAUACAUAUUGCCUGUGAUGUUCAAGCCUUUGCAGAUAAAAUCAGCAGUCCACAAAGCAAGAACAGCCUGAGCAAACUGCUCAAGCUUUUUAGAGCCACAGGUUACAGAAACUUGCUUUGUCAGCACUGGAAUCAAGCCACUGACUGAGGUAACUAUCACGAGAACAGACUGUAGAUUGGAGCUUCCCAGCAGUGUACCAUAAAUAGGUGACUGGAGUGCAGAGACAGUCAGCACUUGGUGAGCUCAUUGGGUGCUGGAACAGCUGGAUCCCCUGGACCGACGACCUCCAGCUUCAAGCAGGCCCUUCCCGUUACCCCCAUGCGCCUAAAAUAGGAUUAUUUUCUAUGCCUACCAUGAUGGGGAAAAAAUUAAGAACCACUCCCAUGGAUAGUAGCUAUCAUCAAAUUUUUAAGUAUCCAGGUUGGAAGGUCAUCUAGUUUAACGUCUAGACUAAUUUGUCAACAAAUAUAUUUGUUUUCUAACAACAGCAAGGUUCCAGAACAUUGAUCUUACUGGUUGAUUUUUUUUAUUGUGAUAAAAUGCACAUUACAAAAUUUAGUGUCGCAAUCGUUUUUAAGUUCAAACUUCAGUAGUGUUAAUUACAUUUCAAUUGUUAUGCAACCAAUCUCAAAAAUUCUUUUCAUGUUACAAAACUGAAAUUCUGUACCCCUUAAACAACAACGCUCCAUUGUUCCCUCCCCCAGCCCCUGGCAACCACCCCUCUACUUUCUGCCUAUAUGAAUUUGACUACUCUAAGUACGUCAUACAAGUGGAAUCAUACAGUAUUUGUCUUUGUGUGACUGGCUUAUUUCACCUAGCAUAAUGUCCUCAAAGUUCAUAUGUGUUGUAUUAUGUGUCACAAUUUCUUUUAAAGGCUGAGUUAUAUUCCAUUGUAUGUAUCUGCCACAUUUUGCUUAACUCAUUGAUGUUUUGUGGAUGUUUUUGUUAUUGAUAGAAUCUUACUUGACUUUCUAGAGCAAGAUCAGUGUGCCUAGAAGCCACUGCAUUAUGA